RNAcentral lists this ribosomal RNA (253 nucleotides) under uncultured bacterium. RNAcentral describes it as "partial 16S ribosomal RNA". It matches the Rfam family "Bacterial small subunit ribosomal RNA", at positions 524 to 776 of the family's 1533-position model. The record is from RNAcentral.
UACGUAGGGGGCAAGCGUUGUCCGGAUUUAUUGGGCGUAAAGAGCGUGUAGGCGGCCAUGUAGGUCCGUUGUGAAAACUCGAGGCUCAACCUCGAGACGCCGAUGGAAACCAUGUGGCUAGAGUCCGGAAGAGGAGAGUGGAAUUCCUGGUGUAGCGGUGAAAUGCGCAGAUAUCAGGAGGAACACCGAUUGCGAAGGCAGCUCGCUGGGACGUUACUGACGCUGAGACGCGAAAGCGUGGGGAGCAAACAGG